AAUGGAAUGUCUGGGUCAUAUGAUAAGGGCAUGCUUAACUUUUAAAGUAAACUAGGAAACACAUUUCUAAUGAGGCUGUACCAUUUUUAUUCCCACCAGCAAU
This 103-nucleotide microRNA precursor is filed under the name Marmota monax (woodchuck). The record is from RNAcentral. Lineage: Eukaryota; Metazoa; Chordata; Mammalia; Rodentia; Sciuridae.